This 342-nucleotide ribosomal RNA is filed under the name uncultured Microbacterium sp. RNAcentral's name for it is "bacterial SSU rRNA". It matches the Rfam family "Bacterial small subunit ribosomal RNA", at positions 359 to 714 of the family's 1533-position model. The record is from RNAcentral. Lineage: Bacteria; Bacillati; Actinomycetota; Actinomycetes; Micrococcales; Microbacteriaceae.
GAAUAUUGCACAAUGGGCGCAAGCCUGAUGCAGCGACGCCGCGUGAGGGAUGACGGCCUCGGUUGUAACUACUGUUAGCAGGAAGAAGAGAAAUUAGACGGUACCGUGCAGAGAAAGACGCCGGCUAACUACGUGCCAGCAGCCGCGGUAAUACGUAGGGUGCAAGCGUUGUCCGGAAUUAUUGGGCGUAAAGAGCUCGUAGGCGGUUUGUCGCGUCUGCUGUGAAAUCCCGAGGCUCAACCUCGGGUCUGCAGUGGGUACGGGCAGACUAGAGUGCGGUAGGGGAGAUUGGAAUUCCUGGUGUAGCGGUGGAAUGCGCAGAUAUCAGGAGGAACACCGAUG